AGCGCUCUGGCCACCUGUACCUGGCAUGUUAUAAAUUACAGGAAGGGGGUGCCACUGUGUGUAUGUGAGUGUAGAAGUCCAUUUUGUAGCUUUUAGGUUUCAUUUGUACUCAAUCUGACGUGAAAUAGAGUUUCUAGGCCAAUUGGGAAUUAGUAGGUGUGACUGAAUACCAGGUAUCUGACCCAAACACUCCUCUCCACAAAGAUCCUGAGCUGAUGAUCGCCAUGCCUGACACUGUUUUUAGCCUAAGCCGGAUAGAAACCCAACUGAGGGAAAACUGGCUCCUUGACGAAGGGAACACAACCAGUACAAGACUCUUUGAAGGGUGCCUCAGAGGUAGCCGCUGAACUGCUGCCUGGAUCAUAGACUGUUUAGCCGUGGAGGACCCUGGAAAGUGCCUCUGAUCUGAUGGGAAUGCCCUUUUGGAACCAUGGACACCCACUUCUGAGCAGCAGAGAGGACCAGUGACAUCAAGGGGUAACGUCUUGACACAGUCAUGAGUUGGAUUUAAGUGAGGCAGAGUUGCACAAUGUCUUCAGCCUUACUUUCCCUUUUGGAGUCAUCCAAGUGGUAAGACAAAAAGUCAGGAUGACCGGUGAUGGCCUGGGAUGCAGUGGGUGACCUUGGCAUCUUCCAUGUCUGACCAAGCUCGAAAGCUCUACAGCACCCUCUUCAGCUGCCUUCGUGGCUGUUGAAACAGAUUGUUCUCAUCUACCCAUUCUUCCACAGGGGAAAUCUUGAGACCUGUUGGUUGUCCUCAAUCUGGCUGCUGAAAUGGUUUUCCAGGGCUGUGGCCGUUAGGCAUGCUACAGCUUCUUGGAGCCACAGGUGAGAGUGGGAGACAGGUGGGCACCACAGGGGGAUAAGCAGCCUGAAGAGGGCAAGUCAGAGGUAUUCGUCCUCCUUGAACACCCCAUAUACCUUGACUAUUAAUUACUGACGAUGUGAAAAGGGGCAGGACUCUCUGCCUUACUCAGGAGGCAUGGCUGAACUGGUAUGGGGUUGUGGGAGGAUGGGAGCUUUGGGUAAUGUUACAAAUGACCUUUCCUGUCUUCACCUUCCUACCCUCUGACCUCCUGACACUCCUGGAGCUAAUGACCAUGUAGCCUGAUUUAGUGUCUCUAAGACUUUCAUGCCCUUGCUUCCAACCCCCUUCUCCCCAGCUUCAUAGCCCACCCCCACCCCAGUUCAGCAGAUUAACAGAUUUGACCCUCCUUUCAUCUGCAGUGCAGCUGAACCGGAUCUGGGGUGGGGUGGGGGAAAGGCAGGGGAGGGAAAGGAAGGAGAGUGACUAGUUUCCAGGAGACCUCCUGGGCUUAGAGCAGUCUUUAACCUUUCUUAUGUCCUGGUCCUUUAUGUCCUUUCCUUGGCGAGGACAAAGGACACUUUUUCUGGCUACACUUUUUAAGUGUACAAAAUAAACUACAUAGGAUUACAAAGGAAACCAACCGUAUUGAAAUAGUUAUCGAAAUUGCCAAACAGACACAAAGAUUCCAAGACCCCAGGUAAGAACCUCAGAGGAAGGCCGAUGAAUUUGAGAAGCUGCUGAAAAGGACUUGGGGGAGUAGAAAUAAAGAGAAGAUUGAUAGUAGCUUUCAAGUAUCACUGUCAGUCCUGAGAUGACUGGUGUCUCAGGCGGCCUUGUAGGAAAUCCUAGGGUCAGGGAGGUAGGGUUCUGGGACAAUCCCAGUGAAAAACAACAAGGCGAAAAAAAGGCCCAGGAGAUGUUUGGUUACUGAGGUGAUGACAAGGGCCAGCUCACAUAUGCCUUUGGGAAAAGACAUCCAAGAAGAUGGAAGCAGGCAGCUGCCCAGGGGAGUCUCCACCCCUUAAUAGGGUUCCCUUGAUCAUCUGGUCGCCACACACCAUGACAUUGCCAUCACACGGGGGGCAGGUGGAUCCCACGGAUGGACACGUAUGUGAUCCAUGUCGGGAUCAAGUUUCAGGUUGGACAUGCUAAAAGUCGGGAGGGGGGAAGCCUGGGCAAGGGUACGGGAGGGUCAGAGCCUCUGGUUCCAGGGUUAAGGCUCUGAGAAAGGGAGAGGGCUCUUUUCUGGGGAUUUCCAUGUACUCUGAAGGUGAGAAGGGCUGUAACAAGGGGUUCUCAUGAACCUAGGUGACCUGGGAGGCUCUUGGUUACGAUGGUCCAUUCCAAGAAGCAAAAGCAUCCCAAGCUUCCGGUUACCCUACCUGACAGCUGAUAUUUAAGAGGGAGCUGGGAAGAGACUCACAGGUGUUACACAGAUGCUUUAUUACUUCCCAUCUCUCCAGUGCUGUCCCUGCUUUCCCAGUUCUCAAACAAAUAUGAUACUCUUAGAUACCUUGGAGGCAGUGUUAUCUAAUGGGAAGAGUCCUGGUUUGGAAGUUAGGGGAACUGGAUGCUAUUUUGUUUUCCUUGGUCAAGCCAUUCAGAAGCCAUUCUCAAGGUCUCCGUUUCCUUAUUUGUACUUUCUUGAUUAAUGAUUGUGUGAUCACAAAGUCAUAAGUCCUCCAUAUUGAACUCCAGCUAUGCUUCAAAUUUCAUUGUCUCUUUUCUUGAUCUUUCCAAUGCUGUAACACAUAUGUUUUCCCCCCUCCACUGAGUCCCAUUUUCUUUCCUUUUUUUAAAAAACCCUUAUCUUCUGCCUCAGAAACAAACUAGGUAUCAAGACAGAAGAGCUCUAGUGGGAGUUAAGUGACUUGCCCAGGGUCACACAGCUAGGAAGUGUCUGAGGCCAGAUUGGAUCCCAGGACCUCCCUUCUCUAGGCCUGGCUCUUUAUCCACUGAACAACCCAGCUUCCCCUGAAUCCUAUUUCACAUUUCAUAUUAUGGGAAUAGUAAUAAAAUUAGGACAUGUCAGUUAACUCUCCUGGCUCUAUUCACCGUCUCAAUGACUUUGUAAACCAAAAUCUUUCUUUCUAGGAACCACUUCCCCAUAUGCUACUCUUUUAAAAGGUAAGCUUUUUGAGGGCAGAGACCAUCUGGCUUUUGUAUUGUAUCUGCAGUACUUGACACAUAGACAAUGUUUUAAUACAAUAUAUUUUAUCCAUCCAUCCAUCCAUCCAUCCAUCCAUCCAUCCAUCCAUCCAUCCAUCCAUCUUUGAUCUAGAGCUGAUAAUGACCCUUACCUUGAGGGCUGUAAGGAGAGAAUGAGAUAUGUGCAAAGAGCUUUGGGAAAGUAAAGAAGCACAAUACAAAUGUGAGGCAUUAUUAUUUUUAUUGUACCUGAAACUGCAGAGUUUUCAAAUUCUGGGUAGUAUUCAAAUGUGAGUGCUCAAUGGAAGGAGGCUGUUGGGGAUGGAACGGGAGGGGGAACUAGGAAAUGAUGGGAGACUCUGAAUUAUUUUAAUCACCUUGACACCUGGAUUCCAAUUUAGGAAAAGAAUUCACUCAGCCAUGUCAAAUUACCAGUCUAGGGAUUAGACGAAAUUAGACAGGGACCCAAAGAAAUCAGGCAGUAGGCCAGGCGACUUUUGGGGGAAAAUGUAAAGCUACCCAGAAAUACCUUGACCAUACUUCUUACAGUGGCUGCUGCCCUUUUGUCUCAGGGAGCAGGAGGAAGGGCUGGCGAACAUUUUUUAAAAGAGGGUUGAGGGUGGGAAGGACUGAAAGAUAUAUUUUUAAAGCCUUUCUGCCAGUAUGAGUUAAUUUAUGCUAAAUCAUCUGACACGGCUAAUGUGUUAAGCUGACCAUCCAUUAAUAUUUUAAACCUAUUAUGGAAAAUAAGCUUGGGGAAGACAGACAGCUCUGCUUCUUCCCCUGUCAGUGGCAAGGCAGCUUGACUAUCUUUCUUGGUCCAGGGGGUGGGGAGCAGUCAAAUUGAAGGAUGUGCUAUGAGGACACCCCAAGUCUGGUCUGAAAUUCUGAUUGGACUGCCUACCCUGAGAUUCUUUGCACUUACAAUAUCCACAGAAUCUAAGUUGGAAGGGACCUUAGGGGCCAUCUAGUCCAACUUAUACCUUGAUAAGAAUCUCGUUUAUAUUCCUGACAAGUGGCCAUCCAGAUUUUGCUAGAAGACCUUCCACAACAGGAAACUCACUGUAUUCCAAUGUAGCCUAUUUCACUUUUAGACAGUUCUAAUCACUGGAAGUUGCUCCUUAUAUAAAUCCUAAAUCUGUUUUUUUUCCCUUUUAAUUUUCAUACAUUGUUGCUAUUGUGCCCUCUGGGACCAAAUAGGACAAGCCUAAUUUGGUUUCUAACUUUUCAGGUACUGGAAGGCAGCUAACAUGCCUCAACUGUCUUCUCCUCUGAAUGCUAAAGAGCCCCAGUUCCCUCAACCAGUCUUUAUAGACCGGGGAUGGUGAAUUUUUUAGAUACUGAGUGCCCAAACUGCACCCUCACCCCUUAUGUGAGCUGCACCCUUGCCCCAGAGAGAGGAGGGAGGCAGCACUCCCAUUGGGCUGCUGGGCAUAGGGGCAGGUGAUGAGAGAAAUAUCCUCAGGUGAUGAAUAGGGGGAGUGGAGCAGCCUCCUCCGGCAUGUGUGCCAUAGGUUUGCCAACAGGGUUAUAGACCAUCAUCUUUAGGAGGGUAUCAUUAUGACUGGCCUUAUUGAAUCCUCUACAACUUAUCCACAUCAUUCUUCCAAUUCAAUGCCUAAAACUGACUCUGGUACUACAAAUGUAGUGUCAUAGCAGGCCAGAGUACAGUGGGGCUCUCAUCCUUCCUUUUCAUUCAUUUAUUCAUCAAUUCAAGCAGUACUUAUUAAGCUCCUCCAAUGUCCCAGGUGGUAUGCAAGGCAUAGGAAAUACAAUCACCCAACAGUCACUGCCUUCAAGUAACUUAUAUCCUAUUGGGGAGGGGACACAAAGAAUAUACAAAUAGUAAAUUAAAUAUAAAGUGAAUACAAAAUAAUUUGAUUUGAACUUUGAAGGAAAUUAAGAGGUAGGAAGAAAGAAGGACUUCAUUCCAGGCAUGGAAUUGUGAAAAAAAACAUAGAGAAGGGGAGCAGAAUGUUAAGUUUUGACUGAGGCACUCUACCUGUGUUAAUCUAGCCUAUUGUGAAGGGUGUUCCAAAAGUUUUAGUACAGUCUUGAAGUAUGAAUUUAAAUUUUACACUUAAAGACUGCACUAAAACUAAUUAAGACUAAGACUUUAGGAUAGCCUGUAUAAUAGGCGGGAUUAACAGAGGUUAAAGUUUAAAGUAGCUACUAAAUCUCAAAAUUGUACCUAAAACUUCUGAGGAUACCCUGAAUGAGCUUUUUGUUAGUGGAAGGAAGGCUGGACUGUUACACUUAUUUUGAGUUUGCAGACCCCUAAAACCUCUGGUUCUUAUGUGGCUAAAUUGAUAUCUAAUCAUAUCUUUCCUGUUCAGUACUAAGGAUGUUGACUUUUUGUACCUGAAUGGAAGACUUUCCAUUUAUCCCUAUAAAAUUUCAGUGUUCACAGUUGACAGUGACAACUGCGUCCUUUUUGGGUCCUCUAAUCUGACACCUUAGCUUUUCCUCUUAAUUUUGCAUCAUCUCUCAAUUUGGUAAGCAUGCUAUCCAUCCCUUUAUCUAACUAUUAUAAAAAGUAUUAAGCAGCACAGGGCCAAGCAUGGAUCCCUGGCAUAUUCCAUUAGAGUGGAGAGUUCUUAACCUUUCUGGAGUAUAUGGGGGUGUUCAAGGAGGACUGGAACCUCUAGCGUGAGGGUUUAUUGAGCCCUUUUCAGGGCUGCUCAUCCAUUCUUUGGUAUCCACCUGACUCAAUUCUCACCAAAUUGUGGCUCCAAGAAGCUAUAACAUCUAGAGCAGAGAUGAUAAACCUUUUAGAUACUGAGUACCCAAACUGUACCCUCAUGGCACAUGUGAGUCACCCCCUAGCCCCAGACAGGGGAGGGAGGAAGUGCUCCCAUUGGGCUGCUGGGCAACAAGGUGAGUGAAGUGAAAAAUGUGCUCAGGUCUGUGGAGAGGGGCAGAGGAGUAACUCCCUCUGGCAUGCAUGCCAUAAGUUUGUCAACACAAAUCUAGAGUGUCCACAUCCUGGUGAAACUGUCUGGGUAGACAGGCUAAACCAGGUUGCAUGUAAUCACCUAUCGGUGAGUUAGGAAGAUAUCUAUCCCAAGUAUGUGAAGACUCUCUGGUAGAAUAGGUGGAUGUUCUAAUGGCCAUGAAGGCAUAUUGAAACUAUGCUUGACCUGGUCAGAUAUGGAAGAUGCCAAGAUCUUCCACUACAUCCCAGGCCAUCACCAGUUGGCCCGAUUUUUACCUUGCCAUUGGACUUUGAUGACUCCGGGAGAAGGUAAGGCUGAUGGCUUCACUUAAAUCCAAUUCUCACACAAGUCAAGACAUCAUUCCUUGGUGUCAUUGGUGCUCUUCAAAAAUGAAGGAUGACCAACAAGUGUGUGCCAUGAAUCCCUUUGGCAUUCUGGUGAAGUCUAUGGACUCCUCAGCAUCAUGUUUUUUUUUAAACCCUCACCUUCUGUCUUAGAAUCAGUACUAAGUAUUGGUUCCAAGGCAGAAGAGUAGUAAGAGAUAGGCAAGGGGGAAAUAAGGGUCUUGCCUAUGGUCACAGCUGGGAAGUGUGCUGCCCUACUGCUGCCCUAGCAUCAUGCUUUAAAAUGCAUAAUUAAAACACAAAGGAUUACCACAUAAACCAAUUAUAUUAAAAAACUGCUAGAAAAUAUUUUCCCCAAAGUUUACAGACUCUAGGUUUCUAAAUUGACCUUCACCCCCUAGAAACAAGACAUUGUGGUAGGUACUGGAUGGGAUGAGGGCAUAUAAUCCCAAAGCUAACUGGUUUAUAUAUAACAGACUUUGCUCCUUUUGUUGAAAAUUGGUACAUUUGGAUAACUUGGGAAGACAAGAUGAUGUAAAAACAAAAAAUAACAGGGCAGCGAGGUAGUACAGUGGUUAGAGCACCAGGCCUGGAGGGAGCCAGGAGGAUAUGGAUCAAAGGUGGCUUCAGAUACUUCCUAGCUGUGUAUC
This is a non-coding RNA of Monodelphis domestica (gray short-tailed opossum), 6886 nucleotides long. NCBI's taxonomy places the organism in Eukaryota, Metazoa, Chordata, Mammalia, Didelphimorphia, Didelphidae. The record is from RefSeq and is a predicted model, not a curated record.